RNAcentral lists this transfer RNA (22 nucleotides) under Streptocarpus pumilus. Its description in RNAcentral is "partial tRNA-Phe". RNAcentral also lists the same sequence under 4 other names. Lineage: Eukaryota; Viridiplantae; Streptophyta; Magnoliopsida; Lamiales; Gesneriaceae. The record is from RNAcentral.
UCGGGAUAGCUCAGCUGGUAGA